Non-coding RNA from Amborella trichopoda, 1764 nucleotides. NCBI's taxonomy places the organism in Eukaryota, Viridiplantae, Streptophyta, Magnoliopsida, Amborellales, Amborellaceae. The record is from RefSeq and is a predicted model, not a curated record.
GGGCAGGGGGGGAAUGGGAAGAGGUCUAGUGAGAGAGAGAAAGAGAAGAAACUUUAGAGAGAGAAAGAGACCAAGUAAAGUCCUUGGGGUCAGAGGCAAUUUCUGCGAGGGUUUGUUAUUAGAGUGACACCAGUUGGUCUUUUGGCUUUAUUCAUGGCCUGGUUAUAUGGGGCAUUGUUUUGUAAGGCUGGUUUUCGCUGAAUGGACAUAGGAUGAUCAAACUGAUGAGGGCCAUUUGAGCUUCAAAUAAUAGUGGGGCUGGUUUGGCAUAUGACGAAAGAGAGAGAGAAGAUGAAGAAGAUCUAAGGUUGUUGCAUUUGCAGAUGCUCAUGGGAAGAUAUAUGAAUUACAAGACCCGCUUGAACAUCAGUUUCAAUGUUGGUUGAGGUACAUGUACAUCAGUUUCAAUGUUGGCAGCUUCAGGUACAUGUACAUCAGUUUCAAUGUUGGUUCUCUUUGGUCUUGUGCCCUAUCAAUUCACUUAGCUUGCCAAUUUUCAAGCUGCAUUUUUCUUGACAGCCUUGUGAUGCUGAAAGUGAGCAAGAUUUAUAAAUGACUAAAAAAAGCGGUGUGCUUAAUAUAAUUUGCCUUGUUCAAGCGCAUUCUUCUUGACAACUACAUUUUUCUUGACAAUUGCUUUUUUCUUGCAUAACAAACGGUGUGCUUUAUAUUGAAGCUGUUUUUUUCUUGAUAGCCUUGUUCCCUAUCAAUUCACUUAGUUUGUUUGUUUUUAUAAAUGAGCUGAUCCCCAACAACAUUUAAAUUGUCCUGAAAGUGAGCUAGAUUUUAGGAAUAUCCUUCCAAUUGCUAUUCACAUUUCCCCUGUUAUCAAGUGGGUUCAUUCUUUCUACCUAUCUUGAUUAAUCAAAUGGAAACUUGCUCUCCUUAAUUAAAAGAGUUGAAAAGAAAAGAUACUCAGGUUGGUUAAAUUUCAAGCCAAUUUGGGGUGUGUGUAAGUUUUUUUGUAUUGCCAUGAAUCACCAAUUUGAUUGUCCUAUUCUUUUAUGCCCUUAUUUCUUGGUGUUAUGUUUCUUAGGAACUUGAUUAGAGGAAACUUUUGAGAUGUGGGGCUAGUGUCUCAAAUUCUAAUUGAUUUGGUUUGCCCCUAAAAUAUGUUUUUGUUGUCUUAGAGGUUCAAUUAUGUGGUACUCACUAAGUCGAAUUUCUACCUGUAUCUGAUGGUUUUACUUAUAUUUGAUCACAAGGAUGAGGUAAUUGUGUAUCUUGACUGUGUGUUGAACUCUACUUAUACAGGGUUAAUUUAGCCAUUUUUUCUUUGUUUUGCUUGUCAUGUAGUUCUUUUGGGUUUAUUGAGUUCUCAUCCAGAUGCUAAUCCAUAACUCUCUACUCAGGGUUGGGGCAGGCCCAGUUGAUGAUUUUCAUUUGGUGGGCUUGCCGGACCACUAUAUUGAUCUUUUUAAGCUCUAUGAUCCAGUUGGUGGGGACCACUUCAACAUAUUCGCUAUUGGCCUAAGGACUACCGAUUGAAUCGUAGUUGUUAGCCAUGGAUAUGCGUGGGAAGUGAAAAACCCAAGGAGCUUGGGGUUUGAAUAAAAUAAUGAGUGAAAACGAUUAGAAACGUAGACGGAGGUCAAUGCAAUUGACAUAAAGGAGUGGAAGUUAAUUGUAAUUGGUUUGAGAGUUCAUUGGAGUGAAAGUUCAUUGUAAUUGGAUUAUCCAGUACUUGUAAAAGUUCAAUGCCAUUUUUGUAAUUCGUUUCCUAGACUUUGAGGAAUUGUUACUACAAUUUUUAUUUUACAUGAA